GAUGAAGAACGUCGCGAAAUGCGAUAAGUAAUGUGAAUUGCAGAAUUCAGUGAAUCAUCGAAUCUUUGAACGCACAUUGCGCCCGCCAGUAUUCUGGCGGGCAUGCCUGUUCGAGCGUCAUUACAACCCUCAGGCCCCCGGGCCUGGCGUUGGGGAUCGGCGGAGCCCCCCGUGGGCACACGCCGUCCCCCAAAUGCAGUGGCGGUCCCGCCGCAGCUUCCAUCGCGUAGUAGCUAACACCUCGCGACUGGAGAGCGGCGCGGCCACGCCGUAAAACACCCAACUCUUCUGAAGUUGACCUCGAAUCAGGUAGGAAUACCCGCUGAACUUAAGCAUAUCAAUAAGCGGAGGA
Molecule: unclassified non-coding RNA, 352 nt
Filed under: soil metagenome
Description: partial contains 5.8S ribosomal RNA, internal transcribed spacer 2, and large subunit ribosomal RNA
Rfam family: 5.8S ribosomal RNA (bases 1-120)
Source: RNAcentral